AUGUCAAGGUGGAAAGACCCUGCUAGAAAGAAGAUACCACAGAAAGUUUUGAGACAUUUUCCAUUGGUGCCUAGGCUGAAGAGGAUGUUUCUUUCCAAAAAAUCAUCAGAAGAAGCACAGUGGCACAAGCUAAAUAGGGAGCCCGGUGAGAAGGAAAUGAGUCAUCCAGCUGACGGUGAUGCGUGGCAACACUUUGAUAAAAAUAUAAGAAAUUUGCUAAGGAUGCCAGAAACAUCAGGCUUGGCAUCGCCACCGAUGGGUUCAAACCUUUCGGAAACUUUAACACAAACUAUAGUAUGUGACCUGUAUUUGUUGUGCCAUACAACCUUCCACCUUGGGCAUGCAUGGAUCAGUCAAAUUUCAUGGUGGCUCUAUUAA
RNAcentral lists this ribosomal RNA (378 nucleotides) under Triticum aestivum (bread wheat). RNAcentral describes it as "partial small subunit ribosomal RNA". The record is from RNAcentral. Lineage: Eukaryota; Viridiplantae; Streptophyta; Magnoliopsida; Poales; Poaceae.